Molecule: RNA transcript, 5091 nt
Organism: Orcinus orca (killer whale)
Lineage: Eukaryota; Metazoa; Chordata; Mammalia; Artiodactyla; Delphinidae
Gene: TEX35
Gene name: testis expressed 35
Exons: 9
Source: RefSeq, a predicted model, not a curated record
CCUGCCCUCACCUCAGCCUGUAACCUGCAGUGGCCUGGUCCCGGGGGCCCAUUGUGGGGAGGUUGGGAAGUUGAAGAACACUCUGGCCUCCUCCAUCAUGUCGGCCAAGAGGGCAGAACUGAAGAAAACAAACCUGGUAAAGGAGAAACAUUGCUGGCCAAUGUGGGGCCUCUUUGAACUCUCACUGGAUGGAGUUGGGGGGUACAGAGAGUCCCCAACGAACCCUCGGCUUUUCUUUCUACCUCUGAGCAUGACGUGGCCUCUCAGGCUGGAAGGAGGGUGGGGAAUGGACCCCUGGGCUUGGGGUGGGAAGGACCCCCGCCAGGAAAAGGAACACCGAAAUGCCCCACCCCUAUCCCGGCCACUCCGGAGCCAUGACCCCAGCCAGGCCCGCAUCUUACCCGCGUGUUUAAGGCACACAGGAACCUCAUCAGAUAAAGGUAAUUAUCAUCCACAAUUUACAGACGAGGAAGUGAAGGCUCAGAGAAGCUAAAUAACGUGCCUAAGUCAACACAGCUGGUAAGGAGGGCAGCUGACACUAGAAUUCAAGUCUGUCUGUCUACCUCCAAAGUCAAUGCUCCUGAAAAAAUACUUAGACGGCUUCCUUGAGUUAUCUUAAAGUGUCCCCGCCAGCCCUCACCCCCGCCAGCUCCCCAGGGAGAGGGCUGCCUGCCGAACAGGCAGGUGUCACUCAUGAGAGGAGUAGAACAUGAGAAAAUGUGAGUUAUCUUGGCCCAGGCGCUGGGGGUAGGUGGGCCUGAGCCUAAGCACAGUUGGACAGGCAGGGUUGGGUGGGUGGAGGGUCCUCCCCAGUCCUGAUGCCUGGCAGCCUGAAUCCCAGCCUCCUGUCUCUGCAGAACAAGAACUACAAGGCAGUUUGCCUGGAAUUGAAGCCAGAGCUGAUCAGAGUAAGAAGCUUGUUUGAGGCCAUACCGGCAGCCAGGCCUGAGACGCAUGGGGAGACAUAUGACUACAAAGGAGCUAAACAAGAAGGGCCAUUUACCAAACCAGGAGGGACAAAGGAGCUAAAGAAUGAACUCAGGGAGGUGAGGGAAGAGCUCAAGGAAAAAAUGAAGGAGAUAAAACAGAUAAAAGAUGUAAUGGACCAGGAAUUUGAAAAACUCCAGGAAUUUGUGGAGAUUAUAAAGGAAAUGCAAAAGGAUGUGGAUGAGGAGAUGGAUGUUUUAAUAAAUAUACAGAAGAAUAGCAAGCGGAGAGGACCAAAGGAGCAGCAAGAACUCAGGCUGAUAGGAAAGAUGGACACAGACCCACAGAUCCGGCGGAAGAAAAUGGAUGGAGCUGAUGGAGUACCACUUGCCCUUCACAAAAAGAUGACGGCACUACAACAACCAAAAAAAGAUCCAAUGGAUUCCCUUCACCAAUGUGAUACCUGCUGUCAAGACCUGAUGAGGUGCCCAGCAGCCUGGCCAUCUUAGACCAGGGAAAAAUGAUCUUUCUGGUGCCGCUUCUGUCCUCCAUAGGAGAAAUGUUUUUUGUGUGCCCCCAAAGAACAACUACAAUCAGCGAUGCUAUUCCUGUCCCGCGUACAGAGCCUCUUGGGGGGCAUUGGCCUGACCUGGGCCACCAUUUCUGCUUUGUGCGGCAGCAUCCAAUUGAUCCAAGCAAGGUGGACAGGCAACUCAACUUGCCCAAUCGAUUUCUUUCCCUGGGAAUUUGAAAUUGGAAUUUGGUGAGACUCAGCUGGCCCCCAGAACUGGACUUAUAAUUGGGAGCUGAAGAGGCCUCUGCCACCAUUGGCCAAAGAUGCAGAUCUACAGAAAAAAUAAAUAAAUCACUUUGCAGAGAGAGAAGAAUGAAACAGAGGGACUGAGAGAAGUGGAGAUUGGUGCAGUUCCGCAGAGGGAGCUGGGAGAGCCACUGUCUGGCUCAGGCCCUGCUGGGCUGGUGCUGGCCCCUGCCUUGGCUUCAUGAAAGCCUCUGGACCUUUGGACCGAGGUGCACAUUUCUGUUUAAGCAGAGUGGCUUUCUGUUACCACCUAACAAGCCUGAGCUGAGGCCCCACGGUUAGAAGGAAUGUCAGAGAUUGGUCAAAUCUCUUCAAUUUACAGUGAGGAUUCUGAGGCCCAGAGAGGUGCAGUGAGGUACCCUCAGGCACACAGCCCAUUUAUAGCAAAGCCAGGACCAGAACCCAGGUUUUCUGACUCCUGGGCCAGUGCUCUGUGGCUCUCUAGGGCUAGCUGUAUUUCCAAGGGCAAUAAGAUGAGAUAGAAGGCAGUCAGCUGGAUCUGGACAUGAAUCAGUGGCGUGGUCGCAGGAAGAGAAAGGUGGCCCAGGAAGGACCCUUACGAACAAAGUCAGGUGAGAUCUCCCCAAAUCCUUUCUGAUGGGAAGCACCUUGGACCUUUCUCUUUCCUGGGAGUGGCCAGUGAAGUCAUGCCCUGGCUAUGUGUUCAUCCAGAGGAAGGGGACGAAUUAACACCACUAAAAGGACAAUUUAAAAGGACAAUAGAAAACAAAAUGAAAAUGGCUUUAUGUUUUUACCCAUGAGUGACCCUUAUUCGAUACGUAUUCUCCCACCACUGCUACCAGGGGUCUCUGCACACUCCUCUCUCCUCUGAGGAAUUACAGUGGUCUGGAGUAGAGAAGGAGCCCCUGCAGUCUAUCCCCAACAAGCCAAACUUGUCCUUUUAGAAUGUCACUUAGAUCUCAUUGCUCUUAUGCUCAGAAUUUCCAGUGUUCGCCCAUUUCUCUCAGAGCAAAAUCCAAAGUUGAUACUUGCAAUGCCCUGUGGCGUCAACCCUGCUACCUUCACACUCACAUACUAUUCUCCCCCUUACUUUCUGGGCUCUAGCCACACUGGCUUCUUUGUUCUUCUUCACACGUACCGUGUACACUCUUGCCUCAGGGCCUUUGCACUCACAGACAUUCCUGCCCAUUUCCUCAGCUAUCCGUGUGGCCGUCACCUCCAAGUUACCUUCUCAGUGGCACUUUCCCCAUUUGUACAAACAACAAUAUCCCCACCUCCAGCAUUCCUUAUCCUCUUUACUCUGCUUUAUUUUCCUCUCCAACUCACUUAGCACCGACUUACACACUAUCCAUUUCACUUGUGGUCUGUCUUCUUCUGCUCGGAUGUGAGUUCCUUGAGAGCGGAGAUUGUGUUUCCGUCACUGCUCUACGGCAGGGCCCAGGGCAGUGCCAAGUGCAUAGCAGGGAGUUGACAGGGACUUGCUGAACGGACACAUGAGUAUAAAGAUAUUUGCCAUGUACUGGGCACUGCAGGCUCUGCACUAAGAUCUUCACCUGCACUGUUUCAUUUUAUUCUUACGAUUACCGCAUGAAAUCAUUCUGUCUGUCUUUCUCUGAAGUCAUUUAAAUGGUCAUCCUCCCUAUUUUGUAUAGGUUGAAACAGGCUCAGAGAGAGAAGGUAAUGAAAGUAAUCUGUCUGAGGUCACAGAAUAAGUGGCAGAGCUGGAGUUUGAACCCGAGCAUUCUGAUGUCAGAAUCUCCCCGUGUGUCCCUGGGCCAGCAGCAUUGGCAUUACCUGGGAGCCUGUUAGAAAUGCAGAGUCUCAGGCUAUAUGCCAGGCCUACUGAAUCAGGACCUGCAUUUUAACAAGACUUCUCAGGUGACUCCAGUGUCCAUUGUAGUCUGAGAAGCAGUGCUCUAUGCUGGGCCAGCAGGUGUAUGGAAGAUAGGGGGCUUCAUUGAGCAAGGGGCUGCUGCAGUUUGGGUUAGUGGCCUUGGGUUCUUCACCCCUGUGGAUGGUUCUCCUGCCUGCUACCCCUCGACCCAGGAGCUCUUUAGUAUCUGCUGGGCUUUGGGGGGAACCAAGGUUCGUGAUGAGGAGGGAAAACUCAAUGCCAACUUCUGUCCAGGAGCCAGUCCUCCUGUGGGCACUGUUGCUUCUCUUUCUUGGAGGAAGGUCUCUCAGCUCACUCAGGGAAAACCAGACCUGUGCCUCUUAAAAGCAUGUGAGAGAACCCAUUGGCAUCAGAGAUGCAGCACUAAGACUGAAGCAGAAGCUAGUUCCACCUGACACUUAGGCACUCCGGCCAGGGAGGUUGUUAAAACAGAAACAAAAUGUACUGUCAGGGCUUCCCUGGUGGCGCAGUGGUUGAGCGUCUGCCUGCCGAUACAGGGGACACGGGUUCGUACCCCGAUCCACGAAGAUCCCACAUUCCGCGGAGCGGCUGGGCCCGUGAGCCAUGGCGGCUGGGCCCGUGAGCCAUAGCUGUCGGAACCUGUUCGGCUGGAGCCGGUGCGCCACAACGGGAGAGGCCACAACAGUGAGAGGCCCGCGUACUGCAAAAAAAAUAUAAACCUACUGUCAAUUAAAUUAUUAAUGCCUGGGAGCCCACCCUGACAUCUAUUUUUAUCACUGAGCGCCACCUUCAGUCUUGACAUUCAUGAAGAGUGGGCCUGGAAUAAAACCAGAAACCCACCCUUCCAGCCUCUCCCAAGCCCAUUCAAAACAAGAGUAAACAUAAAUGUAAACCCAAGUAUGUAAAAACCGACUACGAAAACUGACCAGCAGAGGGCACUGUGACCCCAUCAGUCCCUGCCCCACUGACCUCUCCAGAAGGAAAAGCUGCAAAGACACAAGGAAGGAAAUCACACAAGAUUAGGGGUCUGGGUCCCGGGUCCCACCCCGGCUUCAUCUUUGGAAUCUUGUGGGAGCCCAGGACACCUGACACCUCUGAUCUGUGCCCACCGGCAAGCCAGUGGUCACCCACAUAGGGAUCGGUUCCAAAAGGCCACCGCCCAGUCUGGCAUUUGGGAUUCACAAUGAAGUGACUUUCCUUUACUCCCUUAUUUACUUAACCAGCAUUGGUCGAGCACCUGCUGAGCCAGGCACAGGGCUAGACCAUGCAAUUUUCCCAAAAAGUGGUGGCAUAACAAUAGUCAGAUUCUAAGGCUAGCCCCCUAAAGACUUUCAAAUCAGAGAACUAAUGAGAUUACUUUCUGUUCUAGGGUCAGAGGAAAGAAAUAGGGGAAGGGCAGCGUGGAGGAGAGGAAAGAAAGUGUGGGAAGAGCGAGGGGACCCCGGGGAAGAGGAAGGCAGUUUGGCUUCCAACCCCUGCCUGGUGCAUAUAAAAUAUAGAACCUUAAAAAGUUCAUUUUGGCUUCCUC